RNAcentral lists this ribosomal RNA (402 nucleotides) under bacterium. Its description in RNAcentral is "partial 16S ribosomal RNA". It matches the Rfam family "Bacterial small subunit ribosomal RNA", at positions 355 to 776 of the family's 1533-position model. The record is from RNAcentral.
UGGGGAAUUUUGCACAAUGGGGGAAACCCUGAUGCAGCGACGCCGCGUGAUUUAGAAGGCCUUCGGGUUGUAAAAAUCUUUUCUAUGGGAAGAAAAUGACAGUACCAUAGGAAUAAGGACCGGCUAAUUACGUGCCAGCAGCCGCGGUAAUACGUAAGGUCCGAGCGUUGUCCGGAAUCAUUGGGCGUAAAGGGUACGUAGGCGGGUAAGCAAGUUAGAAGUGAAAUCCUAUAGCUCAACUAUAGUAAGCUUUUAAAACUGCUCAUCUUGAGGUAUGGAAGGGAAAGUGGAAUUCCUAGUGUAGCGGUGAAAUGCGCAGAUAUUAGGAGGAAUACCGGUGGCGAAGGCGACUUGCUGGCCAUAACCUUACGCUGAGGUACGAAAGCGUGGGUAGCAAACAGG